UGGGGGAUAACGCUCGGAAACGGACGCUAAUACCGCAUACGUCCUACGGGAGAAAGCAGGGGACCUUCGGGCCUUGCGCUAUCAGAUGAGCCUAGGUCGGAUUAGCUAGUUGGUGAGGUAAUGGCUCACCAAGGCGACGAUCCGUAACUGGUCUGAGAGGAUGAUCAGUCACACUGGAACUGAGACACGGUCCAGACUCCUACGGGAGGCAGCAGUGGGGAAUAUUGGACAAUGGGCGAAAGCCUGAUCCAGCCAUGCCGCGUGUGUGAAGAAGGUCUUCGGAUUGUAAAGCACUUUAAGUUGGGAGGAAGGGCAGUUACCUAAUACGUGAUUGUUUUGACGUUACCGACAGAAUAAGCACCGGCUAACUCUGUGCCAGCAGCCGCGGUAAUACAGAGGGUGCAAGCGUUAAUCGGAAUUACUGGGCGUAAAGCGCGCGUAGGUGGUUCGUUAAGUUGGAUGUGAAAUCCCCGGGCUCAACCUGGGAACUGCAUUCAAAACUGUCGAGCUAGAGUAUGGUAGAGGGUGGUGGAAUUUCCUGUGUAGCGGUGAAAUGCGUA
RNAcentral lists this ribosomal RNA (560 nucleotides) under Pseudomonas sp. R2-2. Its description in RNAcentral is "bacterial SSU rRNA". It matches the Rfam family "Bacterial small subunit ribosomal RNA", at positions 137 to 692 of the family's 1533-position model. Lineage: Bacteria; Pseudomonadati; Pseudomonadota; Gammaproteobacteria; Pseudomonadales; Pseudomonadaceae. The record is from RNAcentral. RNAcentral also lists the same sequence under 7 other names.